GAUCAAGCUACAAAGGGCGCACGGUGAAUGCCCUGGCACUAGGAGCCGAUGAAGGACGUGAUAAGCUGCGAUAAGCUACAUGUAGGCGCACACAGCCUGUGAUAUGUAGAUUUCCGAAUGGGGAAACCCAUCUAGUUAUGCUAGAUACUGUAUACCGAAUACAUAGGUAUAUGGAGGUACACCUGGGGAACUGAAACAUCUAAGUACCCAGAGGAAGAGAAAGAAAAUUCGAUUCCCUAAGUAGCGGCGAGCGAAAGGGGAAGAGCCCAAACCAGGAACUUGUUCCUGGGGGUGCGGAUAGAUCAUAACGCUUUGAUUUCUUUAGUUGAAGAGAACUGGAAAGUUCCGUCGUAGAAGGGAAUAACCCUGUAGGCGAAAAGGAAAGAAAAGUAGAUCUACUCCAGAGUACCACGAGACACGUGAAACCUUGUGGGAAGCUGGGAGGACCAUCUCCCAAGGCUAAAUACUACCUAGUGACCGAUAGUGAAGCAGUACCGUGAGGGAAAGGUGAAAAGAACCCCGG
RNAcentral lists this ribosomal RNA (523 nucleotides) under Clostridium botulinum D str. 16868. RNAcentral describes it as "bacterial LSU rRNA". It matches the Rfam family "Bacterial large subunit ribosomal RNA", at positions 1 to 529 of the family's 2925-position model. The record is from RNAcentral. Lineage: Bacteria; Bacillati; Bacillota; Clostridia; Eubacteriales; Clostridiaceae.